Molecule: ribosomal RNA, 471 nt
Filed under: uncultured bacterium
Lineage: Bacteria
Description: partial 16S ribosomal RNA
Rfam family: Bacterial small subunit ribosomal RNA
Source: RNAcentral
GGCGAACGCUGGCGGCGUGCUUAACACAUGCCAGUCGAACGAUGAAGCCUAGCUUGCUAGGUGGAUUAGUGGCGAACGGGUGAGUAAUACGUGAGUAACCUACCUUUAACUCUGGGAUAAGCCCGGGAAACUGGGUCUAAUACCGGAUACGACCAAUCUCCGCAUGGGGUGUUGGUGGAAAGCGUUAUGUAGUGGUUAUAGAUGGGCUCACGGCCUAUCAGCUUGUUGGUGAGGUAACGGCUCACCAAGGCGACGACGGGUAGCCGGCCUGAGAGGGUGACCGGCCACACUGGGACUGAGACACGGCCCAGACUCCUACGGGAGGCAGCAGUGGGGAAUAUUGCACAAUGGGCGCAAGCCUGAUGCAGCGACGCCGCGUGAGGGAUGACGGCCUUCGGGUUGUAAACCUCUGUUAGCAGGGAAGAAGAGAGAUUGACGGUACCUGCAGAGAAAGCGCCGGCUAACUACGUG